GGCUGGAAUGUCUCUGUUGACUCUCCGUCCAUGUCAAUGCAGUGGCCAUGCAACAGGUCUGUCUGUCUUCCUGCGUUUAUACUGAUUAAAAACGCCGUUCUCCUGUGAAGGAACUGCCACUCAGCAUUACAAAGACAGGAGGCUGCUGGUUCACCAUAAAAGCUUGCACACAUUUUCAUUUUUGCUGCCAGUCAAGAAGAGUUCAAGGAAUUUUUCAUUUCAGGGAUUUGCUUUGAUCACACCGGUUUGGACAUUUUCCUCUGGUGUGUCCCUGAGUUGGUCUUGAAAGGCUGUGACUGUAAGAGGGAAGACGAGUGGAAUUAUUGCAGACAGAAAGAGUUCCUGGAAGCUAAGACUGAAAAGGACAUCUUUGCCCAUCUGGGUCUUGAGUACAUCGAGCCUUGGCAGAGAAAUGCGUAGGCCUCCAUUCCUCCCUGGCUGGAUGAUGCCCUGCAUGUACAUUAGCGUUUAUCCCAUCUGCUUCCCUUUCUGCAGCUCUCCUGUGAUUCGAUUUCAAAGAGCUUUUGAUUUCUGUAGAGCUCUGUGUUGUUGUUAUUGUUUUUGUUGCUGCAUGGAUCGCGCGCUGGUGCAUGAUUCAUGAUUCUGCCUAUUCAUUGUUGUCUGUUAGCAAGUAAACGCUCUCUCCUAUAGCA
Molecule: long non-coding RNA, 653 nt
Organism: Myripristis murdjan (pinecone soldierfish)
Lineage: Eukaryota; Metazoa; Chordata; Actinopteri; Holocentriformes; Holocentridae
Exons: 2
Source: RefSeq, a predicted model, not a curated record